CAUGCAAGUCACGGGGGUCCGAGGCGCAAGCCUUGGGUAACCGGCGAACGGGUGCGUAACACGUGAGCAACCUACCGAAAUGAGGGGGAUAGCCGGCCCAACGGCCGGGUAAUACCGCAUACGAUCAAGACCAGGCAUUUGGACUUGAUGAAACCUCAGGGGCAUUUCGAGGGGCUCGCGGCCUAUCAGCUAGUUGGUGAGGUAACGGCUCACCAAGGCGACGACGGGUAGCUGGUCUGAGAGGAUGGCCAGCCACAUUGGGACUGAGAUACGGCCCAGACUCCUACGGGAGGCAGCAGUGGGGAAUCUUGCGCAAUGGCCUAACGGCUGACGCAGCGACGCCGCGUGAGGGAUGACGCUCUUCGGAGUGUAAACCUCUUUUGCCUGGGACGAAUUGCCAACUUUCGUUGGCUUGACGGUACCGGGUGAAUAAGCACCGGCUAACUCCGUGCCAGCAGCCGCGGUAAUACGGGGGGUGCGAGCGUUGUCCGGAAUCACUGGGCGUAAAGGGCGCGUAGGUGGUCUGAUAAGGGUGUGGUGAAAGCCCGGGGCUCAACCCCGGGUCGGCCGUGCCGACUGUUAGACUAGAGUGCUGUAGGGGCAGGCGGAAUUCCGGGUGUAGCGGUGGAAUGCGUAGAGAUCCGGAGGAAGACCGGUGGCGAAGGCGGCCUGCUGGGCAGAUACUGACACUGAGGCGCGACAGCGUGGGGAGCAAACAGGAUUAGAUACCCUGGUAGUCCACGCCGUAAACGAUGGGUACUAGGUGCCUGGGGGAGCGACCCCUUGGGUGCCGGCGCUAACGCAGGAAGUACCCCGCCUGGGGAGUACGGCCGCAAGGCUGAAACUCAAAGGAAUUGACGGGGGCCCGCACAAGCGGUGGAGCAUGUGGUUUAAUUCGACGCAACGCGAAGAACCUUACCUAGGCUUGACAUGCAUGGGAAACUCCUCAGAAACGAGGAGCCUCCUUCGGGAUCCAUGCACAGGUGCUGCAUGGCUGUCGUCAGCUCG
Molecule: ribosomal RNA, 1008 nt
Filed under: uncultured bacterium
Lineage: Bacteria
Description: bacterial SSU rRNA
Rfam family: Bacterial small subunit ribosomal RNA
Source: RNAcentral